This 127-nucleotide small RNA is filed under the name Marmota monax (woodchuck). The record is from RNAcentral. Lineage: Eukaryota; Metazoa; Chordata; Mammalia; Rodentia; Sciuridae.
GCUGGGCAUGAUGGCAUAUACCUGUAUUCCCAGCACCCUGGGAGGCUGAGGCAGGAGGAUCACAAGUUUGAGGCCAGCCUCAGCAACUUAGUAAGGCCCUAAGCAACUCAGUGAGAACCUGUUUCUA